CCCUUAGAUGUUCUGGGCCGCACGCGUGCUACACUGACGAAGGCAACGAGCUUUCCUUUACCGAAAGGUACGGGUAAUCUUUUGAAACUUCGUCGUGCUGGGGAUAGAUCCUUGCAAUUUUUGAUCUUAAACGAGGAAUGCCUAGUAAGCGCAAGUCAUCAACUUGCGUUGAUUACGUCCCUGCCCUUUGUACACACCGCCCGUCGCACCUACCGAUUGGAUGGUCCGGUGAAGCCUCGGGAUUGUGGUUCUUGCCGCUUUAUUGUGGCGUGACCGCGAGAACUUGUCUAAACCUUAUCAUCUAGAGGAAGGUGAAGUCGUAACA
This 325-nucleotide ribosomal RNA is filed under the name uncultured eukaryote. Its description in RNAcentral is "partial 18S ribosomal RNA". It matches the Rfam family "Eukaryotic small subunit ribosomal RNA", at positions 1470 to 1796 of the family's 1831-position model. The record is from RNAcentral.